This is an RNA transcript of Glycine soja, 1724 nucleotides long. It is a transcript of the gene named L-aminoadipate-semialdehyde dehydrogenase-phosphopantetheinyl transferase-like, with no coding region annotated. The transcript is spliced from 7 exons. The record is from RefSeq and is a predicted model, not a curated record. NCBI's taxonomy places the organism in Eukaryota, Viridiplantae, Streptophyta, Magnoliopsida, Fabales, Fabaceae.
UAUGACGAUGACCACACACGACGAUAGCGCGACGUAUGAGAGACAUACUUUCGACGACCGAUUAGUUAGGAAUGGAGUGAGGCCACCACCACAAGUGAGUAGACGAGCUGAGGGAGGGAGGGCACGAGAGAUAGUGGGUGAGGGGCUUCCACAACAUCAAAAGGGCAAAAAACACUUUCACACAUCCGUCGCCGGCUAAGCUCGCAAACGUAAACGAACUUGAGUUGGAACUUCUCCGACGAGUACAACCAAUUGGUCUCAAACCAUAUCGUCUUUUGCUUCUACUCACCGCAUUCUCGAAUUUCCUCUUUUCUGUGACGCGUGGCAAAAAUUUCCCCCUUAAUUUCGUAUUUUAGAUGAGGUUCCGUUGAAGUUUUCUCCCCUCGUUCUGUUCUUCUGCCAUCGAUGGAACACACAAGUGUAGCGUGAAAAAAAAAAAAAAGAUUACUUACUCAGACGAACCACCACUCUAUUGGAUAAUAUCAAAGUGCGUUCAAAAUGGAAGAAGGCGUAAGGAGAUGGGUAGUGGACAUAUCAAAGUGGGACCCACACCCCUCUCACUUCUCCUUCGCUCUCUCCCUCCUUCCUUCCCACGAGCACUCCUCGGUCACCAGGUUUGUUAAAAUGGAAGAUAGGAAACGUGCACUUGUUAGCCGCAUGCUUCAGUAUGUUCUUGUCCAUGAUGUGUUGCAAAUCCCAUUUCCUGACAUUGUCAUAAAACGAACUUUGGAAGGCAAACCCUAUUUGGAUUAUUAUGAUAAAUUUGAUCUUAGAUUCCCAAAUUUUAAUUUCAAUGUAUCUCAUCAUGGUGACUAUGUGGCCAUAGCAUCUGAACCUGUAUGUCUUGUGGGGGUAGACAUUGUCUCCUAUGAUGUUCCACAGGGAGAAACAACUACAGAAUUCAUUCAAUUCUUCUCAUCAUACUUUUCAAGUCUGGAAUGGGAUAACAUAGUCAAUUCAGGCACUUUGAAUGAUGUAUUGACGGAAUUUUACAGGUAUUGGAGCCUUAAAGAAGCAUAUGUUAAAGCUAUAGGGAGUGGACUUACUGAAGGGCUGAAUAAAGUGGAAUUUUCUCACACAAGAUGGACAAAUAUAUCAGCUAAAGUGGAUGGGAAGACCAUGACAGAGUGGAGAUUUUGGUUGUUCGAACUUGGGGAUAGACAUUGUGUAGGUUACUAAGUUCCUCAUCAACUUCUUUACACCUUGACCAUUACGAGUCAUUCCUUUUUCAUCCAUGAAGUUAAAAUCUGGUAUUCUCUUACAAAUUUGUGGCAUAAAUUUUCCUUUUGCAUCUACUGAAUGAUGGAUCAUACAGUUCUACAACAUUAGUAUUUUAGAUUUCUAUGGCAAAGACAUCCAUGUUGCUGGAAUUUAAACUGGUACAAGUGCUGAAUAACAAAGCUAGUUCAAAACGGAAGGAUUUCCAAAGUCAACAUAAGGAGUAUUUUGGGCAUAUAUCUAACCGAUACGAGAUCUUAACAAAUAUUAGGCUCUCAUAGCAUAACAUAUCCUAAAAGCUUGAGCUAUUUGAUGAAGACACAAAUGGAUUUCUAUUACAUUUCUAACAGCUACAACAGUAACUUUCAUGUUUCAAUUGCGAGAGUUCACCCAAUAUCAGCUACUACGAGUUACAAAACAACAUUGAAAAAAGUGGACUUUACUGAAGAGGAAUAUACUCUAGGUCUUCAUCUUCCAAACGUAGGCAUUGUUAAACUAGAUGUAGA